CCUACGGGUGGCAGCAGUGGCGAAUAUUGGGCAAUGGGCGCAACCCUGACCCAGCAACGCCGCGUGAAGGAAGAAGGCUUUCGGGUUGGAAACUUCUUUUUUCAGGGACGAAGAAAGUGACGGUACCUGACGAAUAAGCCACGGCUAACUACGUGCCAGCAGCCGCGGUAAUACGUCGGCGGCAAGCGUUAUCCGGAUUUACUGGGUGUAAGGGGCGCGUAGGCGGGGAGGCAAGUCAGAUGGGACAACCACGGGCUCAACCUGUGGCCUGCAUUUGGAACUGUUUUGCUUGAGUGCUGGAGAGGCAAUCGGAAUUCCGUGUGUAGCGGUGAAAUGCGUAGAUAUAAGGAGGAACACCAGUGGCGAAGGCGGAUUGCUGGACAGUAACUGACGCUGAGGCGCGAAGGCGUGGGGAGCAAACAGGAUUAGAUACCCCAGUAGUC
This 443-nucleotide ribosomal RNA is filed under the name uncultured bacterium. RNAcentral's name for it is "partial 16S ribosomal RNA". It matches the Rfam family "Bacterial small subunit ribosomal RNA", at positions 338 to 795 of the family's 1533-position model. The record is from RNAcentral.